ACGGCUCAGUAACACGUGGACAACCUACCCAAAGGUCUGGGAUAACUCCGGGAAACUGGGGAUAAUACCGGAUAGGUCAAGAGUACUGGAAGGGUUUUUUGAUUGAAAGCUCUGGCGCCUUUGGAUGGGUCUGCGGCUGAUUAGGUUGACGCCGGUGUAAAGUACCGGCGUGCCGAUUAUCAGUACGGGUUGUGGGAGCAAGAGCCCGUAGAUGGAUUCUGAGACACGAAUCCAGGCCCUACGGGGCGCAGCAGGCGCGAAAACUCUACAAUGCAGGCAACUGCGAUAGGGGAACAUCGAGUGGCAUCUACAUUAGGUGUCUGUCCAGCUGUCUAAAAAACGGCUGUUAGCAAGGGCCGGGCAAGACCGGUGCCAGCCGCCGCGGUAAUACCGGCGGCUCGAGUGGUGGCCGAUAUUAUUGAGUCUAAAGGGUCCGUAGCCGGCUUUGCAAGUCUUGUGGGAAAUCCAGCGGCUUAACCGUUGGGCGUCUGCGGGAUACUACAUUGCUUGGGACUGGGAGAGGUAGGAGGUACUCAGGGGGUAGGAGUGAAAUCCUGUAAUCCUCUGGGGACCACCGGUGGCGAAGGCGUCCUACCAGAACAGGUCCGACGGUGAGGGACGAAAGCUAGGGGCACGAACCGGAUUAGAUACCCGGGUAGUCCUAGCCGUAAACGAUGCCCGCUAGGUGUCACGGCAGUCGUGAACUGCCGUGGUGCCGUAGGGAAGCCGUGAAGCGGGCCACUUGGGAAGUACGACCGCAAGGUUGAAACUUAAAGGAAUUGGCGGGGGAGCAC
This 794-nucleotide ribosomal RNA is filed under the name uncultured Methanosarcinaceae archaeon. RNAcentral's name for it is "bacterial SSU rRNA". It matches the Rfam family "Archaeal small subunit ribosomal RNA", at positions 85 to 879 of the family's 1478-position model. The record is from RNAcentral. Lineage: Archaea; Methanobacteriati; Methanobacteriota; Methanomicrobia; Methanosarcinales; Methanosarcinaceae.